This 598-nucleotide ribosomal RNA is filed under the name uncultured bacterium. RNAcentral's name for it is "bacterial SSU rRNA". It matches the Rfam family "Bacterial small subunit ribosomal RNA", at positions 338 to 956 of the family's 1533-position model. The record is from RNAcentral.
CCUACGGGAGGCAGCAGUAGGGAAUUUUCCGCAAUGGGCGAAAGCCUGACGGAGCAAUACCGCGUGAGGGAUGACGGCCUGUGGGUUGUAAACCUCUUUUCUCAAGGAAGAAGUUCUGACGGUACUUGAGGAAUAAGCAUCGGCUAACUCUGUGCCAGCAGCCGCGGUAAUACAGAGGAUGCAAGCGUUAUCCGGAAUUACUGGGCAUAAAGCGUCUGUAGGUGGUUUGGUAAGUCUGCUGUUAAAGACUGGGGCUCAACCCCAGAAAAGCAGUGGAAACUGCCAGACUUGGGUGUGGUAGAGGUAGAAGGAAUUCCUAGUGUAGCGGUGAAAUGCGUAGAUAUUAGGAAGAACACCAAUGGCGAAGGCAUUCUACUGGACCAUAACUAGACACUGAGAGACGACAGCUAGGGGAGCAAAUGGGAUUAGAUACCCCAGUAGUCCUAGCCGUAAACGAUGGAUACUAGAUGUUGCACGUAUUAACCCGUGCAGUAUCGUAGCUAAGGCGUUAAGUAUCCCGCCUGGGAAGUACGCUCGCAAGNGUGAAACUCAAAUGAAUUGACGGCGUGAGACGNGCGAGACGACGACGAGGGAGAGG